This is a long non-coding RNA of Mugil cephalus (flathead mullet), 813 nucleotides long. RefSeq lists it as uncharacterized. The record is from RefSeq and is a predicted model, not a curated record. The transcript has 3 exons. Lineage: Eukaryota; Metazoa; Chordata; Actinopteri; Mugiliformes; Mugilidae.
AACCAAGGGGACAACAAUUAAUUCAUUUCCAUGUAGGAAAACGAAGAAGACAGUGGAAAAUGUAAAACCAUACGACUCUCCUAGAAAUAUUCAGGUUUUUAUGUGUAUUUUCAACAUUUGUAAAAAUUCAGUUUGUGAACAUGCAUUAUUUGAGAUUAUACACAUUAUUUUAAUGCACAACACGUUUGUGCACAGAUUACUUUUUUUGCAUGACUCUGAACCUGCAAGCUUACUCCAUCAUUCAUGUUACGAUCAAUGGACACGGACUUUUCAACCAGUAAUUAGCAUUUUGUCGGAGGUGUACCUAUAACCCUGCCAUGAGGAGACACAGCAAGGCCUCAAACAGCCUCACAUCUCUCUAGCAGACACAACAGGAAAGGUCGGAGCCACUUUGGGCUGAGCCUCGCUGGAAAGGUCUGCACAAUUAACUAUAUAAUACAGAAAAUCCUCUGAAGCUUAUAGUGAACAUGUGUUAGCCUGAACGCCACGAGGAGCUUCUCAUAACUCACAUUUCUGCCGGGAGCCAACAUACUUCAGCUAAAGUACGUCUAUGAUGUUGUCCACUGAGAGCAGAAUCCACUUAUUCACAAGACACAGAGAUGUAAAGGAUGGACCACACAUGCUGUCCUCUUUGGGUAAACCACUCGUGUUCUGGAUCCAGACCCCACAUUACCGCACAGAAGAUCGGCUAAUCCCAAUUACGCGCAUGAGAGGACGCAUAAUCCCACCAGCACCCAGUUCCAGCUGUUGAGAGAGAUACAGAAUAUUGGCCGGUCACUGACAGACAUUAUAUGUAUUACAGUAUACAUUCAG